This 482-nucleotide ribosomal RNA is filed under the name uncultured bacterium. Its description in RNAcentral is "partial 16S ribosomal RNA". It matches the Rfam family "Bacterial small subunit ribosomal RNA", at positions 30 to 507 of the family's 1533-position model. The record is from RNAcentral.
AUUGAACGCUGGCGGCAUGCUUUACACAUGCAAGUCGAACGGUAACAGGUCUUCGGAUGCUGACGAGUGGCGCACGGGUGAGUAAUACAUCGGAACGUGCCUAGUAGUGGGGGAUAACUACUCGAAAGAGUAGCUAAUACCGCAUGAGAUCUACGGAUGAAAGCAGGGGACCUUCGGGCCUUGUGCUACUAGAGCGGCUGAUGGCAGAUUAGGUAGUUGGUGGGGUAAAGGCUUACCAAGCCUGCGAUCUGUAGCUGGUCUGAGAGGACGACCAGCCACACUGGGACUGAGACACGGCCCAGACUCCUACGGGAGGCAGCAGUGGGGAAUUUUGGACAAUGGGCGAAAGCCUGAUCCAGCAAUGCCGCGUGCAGGAUGAAGGCCCUCGGGUUGUAAACUGCUUUUGUACGGAACGAAAAGCAUGGGGCUAAUAUCCCCGGGUCAUGACGGUACCGUAAGAAUAAGCACCGGCUAACUACGUG